Molecule: ribosomal RNA, 257 nt
Filed under: Klebsiella pneumoniae
Lineage: Bacteria; Pseudomonadati; Pseudomonadota; Gammaproteobacteria; Enterobacterales; Enterobacteriaceae
Description: partial 16S ribosomal RNA
Rfam family: Bacterial small subunit ribosomal RNA
Source: RNAcentral
CGGUCCAGACUCCUACGGGAGGCAGCAGUGGGGAAUAUUGCACAAUGGGCGCAAGCCUGAUGCAGCCAUGCCGCGUGUGUGAAGAAGGCCUUCGGGUUGUAAAGCACUUUCAGCGGGGAGGAAGGCGGUGAGGUUAAUAACCUCAUCGAUUGACGUUACCCGCAGAAGAAGCACCGGCUAACUCCGUGCCAGCAGCCGCGGUAAUACGGAGGGUGCAAGCGUUAGUCGGACUUCCUGAGCGUAAAGCACACGCAGGC